AUUGAACGCUGGCGGCAGGCCUAACACAUGCAAGUCGAGCGGAUGAAGGGAGCUUGCUCCUGGAUUCAGCGGCGGACGGGUGAGUAAUGCCUAGGAAUCUGCCUGGUAGUGGGGGAUAACGUCCGGAAACGGGCGCUAAUACCGCCUACGUCCUGAGGGAGAAAGUGGGGGAUCUUCGGACCUCACGCUAUCAGAUGAGCCUAGGUCGGAUUAGCUAGUUGGUGGGGUAAAGGCCUACCAAGGCGACGAUCCGUAACUGGUCUGAGAGGAUGAUCAGUCACACUGGAACUGGGACACGGUCCAGACUCCUACGGGAGGCAGCAGUGGGGAAUAUUGGACAAUGGGCGAAAGCCUGAUCCAGCCAUGCCGCGUGUGUGAAGAAGGUCUUCGGAUUGUAAAGCACUUUAAGUUGGGAGGAAGGGCAGUAAGUUAAUACCUUGCUGUUUUGACGUUACCAACAGAAUAAGCACCGGCUAACUUCGUG
This 484-nucleotide ribosomal RNA is filed under the name uncultured bacterium. RNAcentral's name for it is "partial 16S ribosomal RNA". It matches the Rfam family "Bacterial small subunit ribosomal RNA", at positions 30 to 507 of the family's 1533-position model. The record is from RNAcentral.